Molecule: ribosomal RNA, 266 nt
Filed under: uncultured bacterium
Lineage: Bacteria
Description: partial 16S ribosomal RNA
Rfam family: Bacterial small subunit ribosomal RNA
Source: RNAcentral
GAUGAACGCUAGCGGCAGGCCUAACACAUGCAAGUCGAGGGGUAGAGUUCUUCGGGACUUGAGACCGGCGCACGGGUGCGUAACGCGUAUGCAAUCUACCUUAUACAGGGGAAUAGCCCAGAGAAAUUUGGAUUAAUGCCCCAUAGUGUUAUCGAAUCGCAUGGUUUGAUAACUAAAGGUUCCAACGGUAUAAGAUGAGCAUGCGUCCAUUAGUUAGUUGGUAAGGUAACGGCUUACCAAGACAAUGAUGGGUAGGGGUCCUGAGA